UUUUAUUGAUCAAGUCAGAUUUUCAAAAGAAGUCUGCUUUGUAGGUCUGCCACUGUGGGAGGCAUCUUGAAGAAAUUCAUCAUGAAUAGUAAGAUAGAGGAGAUUAGGGUUGAAGCCAUGUUCAAGAGCUCUGGCAUAUAUACAGUUGAUUUGAUGAGCAGAGAGAUUUGUAAUAUUCAUGAUCUCAGUGGUAGUUUUUGCAAUAUAAGG
Molecule: small RNA, 210 nt
Filed under: Histoplasma ohiense
Lineage: Eukaryota; Fungi; Ascomycota; Eurotiomycetes; Onygenales; Ajellomycetaceae
Description: hypothetical lncRNA
Source: RNAcentral